Molecule: long non-coding RNA, 1454 nt
Filed under: Eucalyptus grandis
Lineage: Eukaryota; Viridiplantae; Streptophyta; Magnoliopsida; Myrtales; Myrtaceae
Description: long non-coding RNA (EGRA_LNC000843)
Source: RNAcentral
AUCAUCAAAGAAAAUAAUCUAAUAAUUUAACAAUGCCCUCCACAAUACUGAGCUACAACAUUGUCAGUUGUUCAAAGAAUCUUCCCUUCAAAGGUUUUAUUACAUUAACUAGCUGAUACACAAACACACAACUAAAUACAUAACACAGGCAAUAAAAGCCAGAACUGAAAAAAAAUAUGCCCCAGUGCUUGAUCCACCAUGACGCCUCUUGAGGGAACAAACAAAAUCUCAAAGGAAACAGAGAAAUGGUCAUAAAAGUAGCCAAUCUCACAAAGCCUCGUACCUAAACGCCAGAAGUAGGGCAGACUCCUCAUACGAUGGUGGGCAACAAUCAAGUAAUGCAGCUUUAUCAAUCGGACGAUCAAAAUCAACAUACUUUGCUCGAAGCGUGCCACAUAUUCACUUUAUAUCUUGAAUGGCAAACUCCCAGAGCUAGCCUUAUCAAGUUUUGUCUUCUUCAGAUUUAUUUUCUCUGAUGCGAUUUUCUAGAAAUAAUUUGGGCCACCAAAAUCAAUCUUAGCUUGCCUCACCUUUUUCCUCUUUCCCCAGUCAUAUUCGUCAUCCCUACAAUAUGAACAUAUAAUAUUGUAAAUUUUAAGAGAUAUGUGCUUAAAAGUAAAAACAUCAAGUGCUACCAAUCAAUGUUAGAGAAACAGAUCGCUACCAACUAUGUAAGCCAACAUAGUACAUGAUAUACCGCUCUAUUGCUGCCUUUCCCCUGACUAUCCAAAGAAAUGUCCAUGCUCAUCUUUCCCUAUUUAACUGUUUAUUUUGUUCUUACCCUCAUAUCUCAAUAGGCUUUAAUCGUCAAAGUAAUAACAAGAAAUGGGAUUUCCUAAUUGGCCCACAAUUACAUUCACAGCAAGUAAGAUACCUAAAAAUGAACCAUAUUAUUCAUGUCUACAAGCAUCAACUAUAGUAUCAUCAGAAAAGUCUAUUGAUUAGAAAUGGAGAGAAUCGAGAUGCAAAUGUUUCAUGACUUUCCAUGUCAACGCUAACCCUCAACCAUCAAACCAUACAAUACAUUUACCUAUCCAGCUUCCUUCACCAAUGAUAUCUUUGAUUGAAGUUCAUAACAACUAGUAUAUAUGAUUCUGUAGAAGUAUGACUAACAAUACUUCAACUUCAGCCUACCAAUCAUCCAGCACAUAACCAAUGUUGGUGUUCUCUGAACCAUUUGAUUCCGCUAUUAGAGAGGGAGAAAAAUCUAUCCCGUCCCAAUGCGCAAUUGCAAUCAAAAGGAAAGAAAAGGUAAAUGGAGAGCACCAAUUCAACAAAUUAUUUAGGAAGCACCACUACAAGUAAAAUUCACAAUCAGUAGAUCGAAGUAGGAACAAACCCAGAUGAGGAGAAGAAUCGAGCGAAGGAAACAAACCCAGAUGAGGAGAAGAAUCGAGCAGAGGAAACAAACCUAGAUUUUUCAUUGGCGGAUUUGAAGGUGCUGGAGAUUGUCG